CAUAUGUUGAGGAGGCGGUGACCGUGGCGGUGGAGGAGGAGGAUGAGGUAGCCAACACUGUUUUUUAUAUAUAUAAAUAUAUAUUUUUUAAUUGGGUAGCCCCCAAAAUAUUGGGACAUAUAAAAAAAGACAAGUCUGUUCCGCAGAGUAGCUGUUGACAUUAUAGUUGCGCAGGCACUUUGUUGACUCUAGAGAACCUCAGGCCAAUCGCACAUCCCCAUGGCGGCGACUUUGCAUGCGGAUGUCAUCCAUAUCAACUUUCGAUGCCAGUUUCUGCGCCUACCAUGGUGACUAUGGGUAACGGGGAAUCAGUGUUCCAUUCCAUACAGGGACCCUGAGAAACGGCUACCACAUGCAAGGAAGGCAG
RNAcentral lists this ribosomal RNA (367 nucleotides) under Pelobates cultripes (western spadefoot toad). RNAcentral's name for it is "SSU_rRNA_eukarya". It matches the Rfam family "Eukaryotic small subunit ribosomal RNA", at positions 106 to 428 of the family's 1831-position model. Lineage: Eukaryota; Metazoa; Chordata; Amphibia; Anura; Pelobatidae. The record is from RNAcentral.